RNAcentral lists this ribosomal RNA (114 nucleotides) under Synodus oculeus. RNAcentral describes it as "partial 16S rRNA". Lineage: Eukaryota; Metazoa; Chordata; Actinopteri; Aulopiformes; Synodontidae. The record is from RNAcentral.
UGCUCUACAGCUAGCCUAAUAAAAACUUUUAAUUUAGCAAAAUUUACCAAAAGUAAAAGACUUACCCUCAAUCAAACAAAACAUUUUUCCCCCUUAGUACGGGAGACGAAAAAG